This 77-nucleotide transfer RNA is filed under the name Escherichia coli. Its description in RNAcentral is "tRNA-Asp". Lineage: Bacteria; Pseudomonadati; Pseudomonadota; Gammaproteobacteria; Enterobacterales; Enterobacteriaceae. The record is from RNAcentral.
UGGCGCUCAAAGGUAAGUAAAGGGAGUUUGAUAUGUCUGUUUCACGUCGGGUAAUACAUCACGGACUUUAUUUUGCG